This 493-nucleotide ribosomal RNA is filed under the name uncultured bacterium. RNAcentral's name for it is "partial 16S ribosomal RNA". It matches the Rfam family "Bacterial small subunit ribosomal RNA", at positions 30 to 523 of the family's 1533-position model. The record is from RNAcentral.
AUUGAACGCUGGCGGCAUGCUUUACACAUGCAAGUCGAACGGUAACAGGUUAAGCUGACGAGUGGCGAACGGGUGAGUAAUGCAUCGGAACGUGCCCGAUCGUGGGGGAUAACGCAGCGAAAGCUGCGCUAAUACCGCAUACGAUCUGAGGAUGAAAGCGGGGGACCGUAAGGCCUCGCGCGAUCGGAGCGGCCGAUGUCAGAUUAGGUAGUUGGUGGGGUAAAGGCUCACCAAGCCAAUGAUCUGUAGCUGGUCUGAGAGGACGACCAGCCACACUGGGACUGAGACACGGCCCAGACUCCUACGGGAGGCAGCAGUGGGGAAUUUUGGACAAUGGGCGAAAGCCUGAUCCAGCAAUGCCGCGUGCAGGAAGAAGGCCUUCGGGUUGUAAACUGCUUUUGUACGGAGCGAAAAGGUCUCCUCUAAUACAGGGGGCUCAUGACGGUGCCGUAAGAAUAAGCACCGGCUAACUACGUGCCAGCAGCCGCCGUAA